CCUACGGGAGGCAGCAGUGGGGAAUAUUGGGCAAUGGGCGCAAGCCUGACCCAGCAACGCCGCGUGAAGGAAGAAGGCUUUCGGGUUGUAAACUUCUUUUGUCAGGGACGAAGCAAGUGACGGUACCUGACGAAUAAGCCACGGCUAACUACGUGCCAGCAGCCGCGGUAAUACGUAGGUGGCAAGCGUUAUACGGAUUUAUUGGGUGUAAAGGGCGUGUAGGCGGGAAUGCAAGUCAGAGGUGAAAACUAUGGGCUCAACCCAUAGCCUGCAUUUGAAACUGUAUUUCUUGAGUGCUGGAGAGGAAAGCGGAAUUCCGUGUGUAGCGGUGAAAUGAGUAGAUAUACGGAGGAACACCAGUGGCGAAGGCGGAUAGCUGGACAGUAACUGACGCUGAGGCGCGAAAGCGUGGGGAGCAAACAGGAUUAGAUACCCGAGUAGUC
This 443-nucleotide ribosomal RNA is filed under the name uncultured bacterium. RNAcentral's name for it is "partial 16S ribosomal RNA". It matches the Rfam family "Bacterial small subunit ribosomal RNA", at positions 338 to 795 of the family's 1533-position model. The record is from RNAcentral.